UCUCAAAUCAGGUAGGACUACCCGCUGAACUUAAGCAUAUCAAUAAGCGGAGGAAAAGAAACUAACAAGGAUUCCCCUAGUAACGGCGUGUGAAGCGGGAAGAGCUCAAAUUUAAAAUCUGAUAGUCUUUGGCCGUCCGAGUUGUAAUCUAGAGAAGUGUUUUCCGCGUUGGACCAUGUACAAGUUUCCUGGAACGGAACGUCAUAGAGGGUGAGAAUCCCGUCCUUGACAUGGACUACCAGUGCUUUGUGAUACACUCUCAACGAGUCGAGUUGUUUGGGAUUGCAGCUCAAAAUGGGAGGUAAAUUCCUUCUAAAGCUAAAUAUUGGCGAGAGACCGAUAGCGAACAAGUACCGUGAGGGAAAGAUGAAAAGCACUUUGGAAAGAGAGUUAAACAGUACGUGAAAUUGUUAAAAGGGAAACGAUUGAAGUCAGUCGCGUUUACUUGGACUCAGCCUUACCUCGGUUUGGUGCAUUUCCUUGUGAACGGGCCAGCGUCAAUGUUGUCCGUUGGAAAAGGGUUGGAGAAAUGUGGCUCUUUCGGGAGUGUUAUAGUCUCUGAUCGUAUACAACGGCUGAUAUUGAGUGGUACAGCAUGCUUCGGCGGUGCUUGUGCUGGCAUAAU
This 625-nucleotide ribosomal RNA is filed under the name uncultured Basidiomycota. RNAcentral describes it as "LSU rRNA". It matches the Rfam family "Eukaryotic large subunit ribosomal RNA", at positions 1 to 635 of the family's 3401-position model. The record is from RNAcentral. Lineage: Eukaryota; Fungi; Basidiomycota.